AGUGAGGGGACUAAAUAAAUAUUGUUGGGGACCUUUACGUAAUAAGUCUUUUCUAUAGGGAUCAAAUACAAAAUACAGAAGAUCCUUUUUUGUGAAAUAAUAUACUGUCAAGGGCUUAUCUGCAAAAUUUCAUUUAGUGGCCAAAUGGGUUUGGGUUUCGGGUUUCGGAUUUGGGUUCGGAUUCGGGUUCCGGGCUCAGAUCUGAACUGGGUUUCAGUUUUGGAAAAAUUUUUUUUAACCGGGCCCAUGUUGGGCCCAUAGUGAACCGGGCCCACAGUGAACCGGCCCAUGUUGGGCCCUGUUCGGCCCGUAGGGCCAUCUUCCUCCCCCAAUCCCCCCCCCCACGGCAGGGGAAGACCGAGAGGGAGAGCGGAAGAGGAAGGGGGCGGCGGGGUGGCCAGAGGCCACCCCUCGGUCGACGGCCAGCCGGCUGCAGUGGCGGCUGGCGGCCGUUGCGGUGGCCNNNNNNNNNNNNNNNNNNNNNNNNNNNNNNNNNNNNNNNNNNNNNNNNNNNNNNNNNNNNNNNNNNNNNNNNNNNNNNNNNNNNNNNNNNNNNNNNNNNNNNNNNNNNNNNNNNNNNNNNNNNNCCGGCGAUCGAGCGGUGGCGAUGGCGACGGCGACGCUUUCCGAAAGGGAAGUGGAUCCCAAAAUAGGGGAGGGCACGGGUGGUGAUGGUGGUGGAUCCGGCGGCCCGCCAGCCACUUGGGAGGCUAGAGCAGAGGAAGAAGAGGGAGGAGAAGGAGGAGAGGAGGGGGGUUCGGUGGUUCCCUAGGGAAGAAAGGGUGGGGUUUUUAUUGUCCCCACCAUAACGGCCCUCCGCCGCGAAAAUCGCGGCGGUCGGGCGAGAUCCGCGGCCGUGAAUUGGCCGCGGAUUGGCUAGGGGGCACCGCGGAAUACCCGCGGCGUCCUUGCCCCUUUUGGUCCCCCGGAGGAGCCGGAGAGGAUGGUGAUCCUCUCCGGUUCCUCCCAUAUCAGGAUCGGGGCUGAAGUCGGCUGGGGCUGCCGACUUCAGCCCCGUAUCUCACAUUCUCUCCCCCUUAAGAAAAUUUCAUCCUCGAAAUUUAAAAAAAAACUCUAGGUCUUCCAAAUUUAGAGGUGCACAGUCCAUUGAGUAAUAUAAAUCCAAGAUCUCAUUCUUCUUGAUCAAAAGCAGUGUGAUGGAUAACUUUGAAUCGACUAUCAAAACUUUCAUAUAGACUCGCAAGAUUAGCACUAGAUAAGUGACUGACUAAAAUUUUAUAUUGAAAUUAUCAUCUUGAUGCACGUUCACUCGAGAUCGAAUCAGGCUCAAUUCUCAACCGGAUUGAUUAAAAUUAAUUAUAUUUGGGAUAGAACUUGAAAUGAAAUGGAUCUCAUACACUUAUCAAGGUAGUAUGCUGAUCCCUCAAAGGAUAAUGACCAACCUUAGAGUCAAAUCAUUAUAUUGCUAAGAAUAUUAUUCACAAAAUGAACAUGUACUAAUGAUCAUUAGAUAGCAAUGAUUUAUCUCAAAAAUGAUUUGCAUCAAAUCACAAAAGCAGGUCUAAGAAGACAAAGUAUUGAUACCAUGAUUCAAUAUGCCACAAAGCUUUUAACUUAAACUUAUAAAUCAUAAGAUGAGAGCAAUGAAUGCAUGGUUUAUUUAGAUACUUAACAUAUUAGACCAUAUUGGGUCAACAAUCAACUAACCCGAGUCAUGAUACGUUCAAAUUAUCAUUAUUAUUAUUAUUCUCUUAGCAUACCCAAAAAUAGCAAAGUCUAUCCAAGAAAUAACAUAAUCAUAUCAAGAUUGACAUGAGAAUCAAUAGUAUUCACCUUCGCUUAUUAACAAAAUCUUUCAUUAUUGAACAACAUAGUCUUUCAUCAUAACAUGUUACCAAAACACAGUCAAUAUUUUUAACCAGUUUAAAUUGAUUUAGUCCAUCAUACUUUCGCUACGCAUCUCUGAUUAAUAUUUUUCAAAAUUUCUUAAUGAUCCCAGAUCAUCAAUAUAUAUAUAUUUUUUAUCCAAGUAAAAUUCUAUCCUUGCUUCCCAAGUACACUAGGUCAUGAUUAACCCUUGAGAUAGUUGUCGUAUUUGUACCAUCAUAUAAUUAUCAAAUUAGCAGGCAAGUCUCUACCUACUAUCUGAACUGGACAAGUCUUGCAGACCUGAUUACUAAUCAUCCUACUCCCAGCCGGAGUGCUAACAUGCAUAUCAUACUCAAACAGCAUGCAAGGUAGGUCAUAUUUUCGCACAAAUAUCGAUGACACAGUGAAUGUGUAGCACCAGAAUCAAUUAGUAUAUAAGCAUAAACAGAAGCAACCGGUAGUGUACCUGACACCACAGUAUUGGAUGCCUGAGCAUUGUGCUGAGUCAGUGCAUAAAUACGACCCUGUGUGUACGGUCUCCCUCCUAUCUGCUGCUUAGAAGAAGAAGGCUGAGCUGACUGAGCCGGAGUAGGAGAAGCUUGCACUUGCUGGGUUCUUGUAGUUUGAGGCCUCUGAACUGAUUGAGAGUCUUGCUGAUUAUAAGGGCACUCCUUUAUCCUAUGACCCUGUUGGCCACAUUUGAAACAAGCGCCGGACAACCGUCUACAAAGUUCUGUCUUAUGGGCGCCUCCACAUGCUUCACAUUUAAGCUUCUCUUGUUGAAUAGUCUCUCCAUAAGAUCUCUGCUUUUCUGAUUGCCCGGAUCUAUUACGAAAUUUUGCUGUCCUGCCAGAAUUCUGUCCACUAUGAGUAUCAUCAUCUCUGCUCCUCUUCUUUUGUAUUCUAUCUUUUGAAUCUUGUGUUUCCUUCCAGACAAUUUCCAUAUUCUUGGCCCUGUCUACCAGGUCAUCGUAGUUUGUUGAGUGCACUACGGCCAAACCCCGACGUAAGUGAGGCUUCAAUCCUUCUUCAAAUCUCCUCAUCCGGGAUUCUGCAUCUAUGACGAGGGUGGGAGCAAACCGAGCUAACCUGUCAAACUCUGCCUCAUACUCACCACAGUCAUAGUUCCUUGAGGCAGAUUUAGAAAUUCUCUCUCUAGCUCCCUAAGGCGACUUGAAGGAAAAUACUUGGAGUAGAAGGCUGUGCGAAACCUCUGCUAGGUAAGUGCCUCCUGCUCGGAUGCCAAUGUGCGCUCCACAGACAUCCACCAAUGAUGAGCUCGGUCCUGAAGCAUAUAUGUGGCAAAUCUGACCUUCUCUUCAUCAGUGCACUCCAUUGCUCUGAAGGCUUUCUCCAUUUCAUCUAUCCAGGCUUCGGCCUCUUGAGGACUAGUGGUGCCUUUAAAAACUGAAGGAGCCAUUCUCCUNNNNNNNNNNNNNNNNNNNNNNNNNNNNNNNNNNNNNNNNNNNNNNNNNNNNNNNNNNNNNNNNNNNNNNNNNNNNNNNNNNNNNNNNNNNNNNNNNNNNNNNNNNNNNNNNNNNNNNNNNNNNNNNNNNCCGGUGGCAGUUUCUGGAGUUGAUUGACCCUGGGGUCCUGAGCUAUGCGAUGCCUCGCCAGCUUGGUUGGUAGGAGCUCUUCUCCGAGAGCCCCUGACCAUCCGAUUCAGGCUAAGGACACGACGAGGCGGCAUUCUGAUUCAGUAAAAAUAUAUAGAUGUUAUAAAAUCAUCCAAACAGAAUAAUACGAAAUAGUUAAUAAAAUAAAUAAACAUUAUCCCCUUAUCUGGUUCCUACCCAUCUCUCAACCUUUCUGACGGAUCCUACGAAUCCUAAAACUUAGGCUCAAUAUAAUUGUUUCAGUUACAAUCCCUAGUGAUCUUAAACCUGAGCUCUGAUACCACCAAAUCUGUCACGCCCCGAGCCCGAGGCGCGGUAGACGCCGCACGCCCGCAUGGCGGGCCGCACAGGCGUGCUAGGCAUCGGAUCAUAUCAAAGCAAAUACAGAUGUUCAAAAGCAGUCUUACAAAAUUUCAAAUAACAUAUGCUGACGUAAGUCAAAUACUCUAAUCAAUCUAACUAAAGGACCAAUAACUAAUGGAAUCAUCGGAACAUCUAACGCACUCCCCAAUCCCGUGCGAUCAAGCUUCUGGAUCUGAAAAUUAAAGAAAAUAAAAUAAUGAGCUACACUAGCCCAGUAAGCAACAAAAUACCCCAAAGUGGGGUCAGAACAUAUCAGAUCAAAUGCAGGAUAAUAUCUGGAAUAAAUCAUAAGUAACAUCAUUUGUUGUUUUCAAAACUUAUUAUCAUUUUUCGGAAAACAUAAUAUCAGAAUCUCAACAUAAUAGGCUACGGCCACGUAACCCAGUGGCAUGGGUUGUACAAGGUGCCAAACACCACUAUUAUUAAGCACCGGUGGUACGGUGUCCAAAUACUACUAUUCUAAUCACCGGUGGUAUGCUGUUGAAACCGGUUCCUCACAGAUUACAAGUCGACAGGGCCAACGUAUAAUCCCCAUUGGUGGGGCCAGAACAGAACAGAACAGAUCAUAGCCAUGCUGAGAAUGCAUAUAUAUAAAAAAAUAGAUUUCAUAAAUUAUCCGGUUAUAUUUUGCGGAUUUCAGAGCAUAUAACAAAAUUUUCAAAUAAAAUUUAACAUGCCUGACCCAUUUUACUGAAUACAAAAUAUAUGUCAAAACAUAAUCAGUUUAUCAAAUAAUUUAGAAAUCACACUUGAAGUAUUAAGUUACUUACAUCUUCUCGCUUGAUUCCUACUUCAGAUAGACAGAUCAGGUUCACCUGUUUAAAUUUAAUUAAUUCCUUGUUAAUUUCAGAGCUAAGCAAAAUCCAAAAAUAAUACUAUUGGUCACGGCCCAACAGGGUCCAGAGUUGGCCCAUAAUGGGCAUGGCCCGAUAGGGCCCAUAUCGGACACGGCCCAAUGGGCCCGUAUAGACUCGGCUAAAUAGGGCCCCCAAUGUUGGCUUCUAAUUGUACCUGUAUACAAUAAAAUUUAUUGGAGGGACUAAUACUUAAUUAUAGGGUACUGUUCUAUAAUAAAAUUUGAGUGAGGGGACUAAAUAAAUAUUGUUGGGGACCUUUACGUAAUAAGUCUUUCCUAUAGGGAUCAAAUACAAAAUACAGAAGAUCCGUUUUGUGAAAUAAUAUACUGUCAAGGGCUUAUCUGCAAAAUUUCAUUUAGUGGCCAAAUGGGUUCGGGUUUCGGGUUUCGGGUUUGGGUUCGGAUUCGGGUUCCGGGCUCAGAUCUGAACUG
RNAcentral lists this long non-coding RNA (5097 nucleotides) under Phoenix dactylifera (date palm). RNAcentral describes it as "long non-coding RNA (PDAC_LNC005257)". Lineage: Eukaryota; Viridiplantae; Streptophyta; Magnoliopsida; Arecales; Arecaceae. The record is from RNAcentral.